RNAcentral lists this ribosomal RNA (279 nucleotides) under uncultured bacterium. Its description in RNAcentral is "partial 16S ribosomal RNA". It matches the Rfam family "Bacterial small subunit ribosomal RNA", at positions 506 to 784 of the family's 1533-position model. The record is from RNAcentral.
UGCCAGCAGCCGCGGUAAUACGGAGGGAGCUAGCGUUGUUCGGAAUUACUGGGCGUAAAGCGUGCGUAGGCGGAUCGACAAGUUGGGGGUGAAAUCCCGGGGCUUAACCCCGGAACUGCCCUCAAAACUGUCGAUCUAGAGACCGGGAGAGGAAAGUGGAAUUCCGAGUGUAGGGGUGAAAUCCGUAGAUAUUCGGAGGAACACCAGUGGCGAAGGCGGCUUUCUGGACCGAUACUGACGCUGAGACGCGAAAGCGUGGGGAGCGAACAGGAUUAGAUA